CUCUUCUCUUUCUAUUUUCGUUCAUUUCCCUCGUCCCACUCCUUCGCACCUACUGACACCCGCCAUCUUCCUCACUCUUUCUCCUCCAAUCCCUCAUUCUCUCCCUCUCUCCAUCCCGCCCAUGGCUUCGUCCUCUCCCUUUCUUUCCAAAAUCCCCAUCUCCAACAGAACCAUCUCCUUCGCAUCUUCUCUCUCCCCCCUUCCUUCGACAUUUCCUUCCAAAUCCCUCCGCCAUCACAGACGAAAUGCCUUCAAAGUUCAAUCGAAGAUCCGCGAAAUCUUCAUGCCCGCUCUCAGCUCCACCAUGACUGAGGGCAAGAUCGUCUCCUGGAUUAAAUCCGAAGGUGACGUCCUCUCCAAAGGUGAAAGCGUCGUGGUUGUCGAGUCCGAUAAGGCCGACAUGGAUGUUGAGACCUUCUACGACGGCAUUCUCGCUGCAAUUGUUGUCCCCGAAGGUGAAACUGCUCCUGUCGGCGCUCCUAUUGGACUUUUAGCUGAGACUGAAGAGGAAAUUGCCGAAGCCAAAGCAAAAGCCGCGUCUCAAACUGGUAGUACUGCUUCUCCUGCUAUUGCUCCCACUCCUCCUCGUGCUACUUCUACUCCUGCUCCUGCAAUUUCGCAAGCAACACCUGCUCCUGCGGCACCUGCUGCGGAGGGGCCCAGGAAGAUAGUGGCGACACCCUAUGCAAAGAAGUUGGCGAAGCAGCAUAAGGUGGAUAUCAACAAGGUGGUUGGAACAGGGCCGUUUGGGAGGAUAACCCCGGCAGACGUAGAGGCAGCGGUGGGUAUUACUCCUUCCAAGCCUGUGGCUCCUAAGCCAGCUCCAGCAGCGGCUGCCUCUCCCUAAAGCUGCUGCCACUUCAUCAGCUCCUGCUCUUCCUGGAUCUACGGUUAUAUCGUUUACAACAAUGCAAGCGGCGGUUUCGAAAAAUAUGGUGGACAGCCUUUCGGUGCCCACUUUUCGGGUUGGAUAUCCAGUGACAACUAAUGCACUUGAUGCACUAUAUGAGAAGGUGAAACCAAAAGGUGUGACAAUGACUGCAUUAUUGGCAAAAGCUGCAGCAAUGGCACUUGUUCA
This 1078-nucleotide unclassified non-coding RNA is filed under the name Hevea brasiliensis (rubber tree). Lineage: Eukaryota; Viridiplantae; Streptophyta; Magnoliopsida; Malpighiales; Euphorbiaceae. The record is from RNAcentral.